RNAcentral lists this unclassified non-coding RNA (329 nucleotides) under soil metagenome. Its description in RNAcentral is "partial contains 5.8S ribosomal RNA, internal transcribed spacer 2, and large subunit ribosomal RNA". The stretch from base 1 to 120 matches the Rfam family "5.8S ribosomal RNA", at positions 35 to 154 of the family's 154-position model. The record is from RNAcentral.
GAUGAAGAACGCAGCGAAAUGCGAUAAGUGAUGUGAAUUGCAGAAUUCAGUGAAUCAUCGAAUCUUUGAACGCACAUUGCGCCCCCUGGUAUUCCGGGGGGCAUGCCUGUCCGAGCGUCAUUACAACCCUCAAGCUCAGCUUGGUGUUGGGCCCCGCCGCCCCGGCGGGCCCUAAAGUCAGUGGCGGUGCCGUCCGGCUCCGAGCGUAGUAAUUCUUCUCGCUCUGGAGGUCCGGUCGUGUGCUCGCCAGCAACCCCCAAUUUUUUUCAGGUUGACCUCGGAUCAGGUAGGGAUACCCGCUGAACUUAAGCAUAUCAAUAAGCGGAGGA